AGCCCGGAGGUGCAUUGCAUAUAAGGUUGCAAACCUUAAGGAGCAGGUUAGCCCCUGCCUGGGCUU
This 66-nucleotide transfer RNA is filed under the name Hyperoglyphe japonica (Pacific barrelfish). RNAcentral describes it as "tRNA-Cys". The record is from RNAcentral. Lineage: Eukaryota; Metazoa; Chordata; Actinopteri; Scombriformes; Centrolophidae.